Molecule: ribosomal RNA, 135 nt
Filed under: uncultured bacterium
Lineage: Bacteria
Description: partial 16S rRNA
Rfam family: Bacterial small subunit ribosomal RNA
Source: RNAcentral
UCGGGAAUUUUGGGCAAUGGGCGAAAGCCUGACCCAGCAACGCCGCGUGAGGGAUGAAGGCCUUCGGGUUGUAAACCUCUUUUCUCAGGGACGAUGAUGACGGUACCUGAGGAAGAAGCCACGGCUAACUACGUG